This 741-nucleotide long non-coding RNA is filed under the name Anser brachyrhynchus (Pink-footed goose). RNAcentral's name for it is "lncRNA (ENSABRG00000015808.1)". Lineage: Eukaryota; Metazoa; Chordata; Aves; Anseriformes; Anatidae. The record is from RNAcentral.
AUCUGUUUGCGAUGAAAUUCAUGCAGAUCUGCUGGGGAAUGAGCCAUAGGAAAUAGUCGUGACACUACAACAAAAAGGCACAGCUGCCUACCAAGGCUGAAAGUGGAUGGCAUAAUAUUUAACUCCAGUCUGUCAUGUAAGGAAAAAAAAAAAGAAAAAGAGCAUCUGUUCAGCAUGAAGUGAAAGGACCCUUCAUUUAGACUCUGUAGGGAUUCAAAUGAAAAAAGUCUUAUGUUGUAUGCUCAGACCUGGCAGAAGAUAAAUCCUCCACUUUCAGGAAGAAGUCAAUGUUAAAGGAUUGAGGUCUCAGGUCAAAACAUACCCAGAUAAAGGCUGGUGGUUUUGGGGCCACUUUGGUUCCAGGAGAGGCACAUCACCACUUCAUCACAGAGACAGCCCUGAAUACCAGGACAGCCUGCUGCAUUGCCUGUGACCAUUUGCUCAAAGGACUGGAAGAUCAGCUCACAGCUGGUGCUUGGCAAUCUUUACCGCUUGGCCAAAGGAGCUUCAGCACCUUCUGUUCUUCCUCUAAUUCUCACAUAUUGGAAUUGAAAAGUCUAUGUCAACAGAGGAUAAUAAAUUUGGAACCGUUGCUGGGUUCUGCCCCUCCCCUUCAUCCUGCGGAUCAGUUGCAAAUGAAUCCUGUUUGCUGCGUUGGCCCUGAAUAUGUUGGUCUUGACAGUAUAAUCCAGAAGGGAUUUUUAUUUGGCUUUCUAAAUGACAGGUUUUGCAGUUAUUAAU